AUGGAGCAGUCUGGUAGCUCGUCGGGCUCAUAACCCGAAGGUCGUUGGUUCAAAUCCAGCU
Molecule: transfer RNA, 61 nt
Filed under: Acinetobacter baumannii
Lineage: Bacteria; Pseudomonadati; Pseudomonadota; Gammaproteobacteria; Moraxellales; Moraxellaceae
Also listed under: 1 other name
Description: tRNA-Met
Rfam family: tRNA
About the family: Transfer RNA (tRNA) molecules are approximately 80 nucleotides in length. Their secondary structure includes four short double-helical elements and three loops (D, anti-codon, and T loops). Further hydrogen bonds mediate the characteristic L-shaped molecular structure. tRNAs have two regions of fundamental functional importance: the anti-codon, which is responsible for specific mRNA codon recognition, and the 3' end, to which the tRNAs corresponding amino acid is attached (by aminoacyl-tRNA synthetases). tRNAs cope with the degeneracy of the genetic code in two manners: having more than one tRNA (with a specific anti-codon) for a particular amino acid; and 'wobble' base-pairing, i.e. permitting non-standard base-pairing at the 3rd anti-codon position.
Source: RNAcentral